This 765-nucleotide ribosomal RNA is filed under the name uncultured bacterium. RNAcentral's name for it is "bacterial SSU rRNA". It matches the Rfam family "Bacterial small subunit ribosomal RNA", at positions 33 to 792 of the family's 1533-position model. The record is from RNAcentral.
ACGCUGGCGGCAGGCUUAACACAUGCAAGUCGAGCGGGGAAAGGUAGCUUGCUACUGGACCUAGCGGCGGACGGGUGAGUAAUGCUUAGGAAUCUGCCUAUUAGUGGGGGACAACAUUCCGAAAGGAAUGCUAAUACCGCAUACGUCCUACGGGAGAAAGCAGGGGACCUUCGGGCCUUGCGCUAAUAGAUGAGCCUAAGUCGGAUUAGCUAGUUGGUGGGGUAAAGGCCUACCAAGGCGACGAUCUGUAGCGGGUCUGAGAGGAUGAUCCGCCACACUGGGACUGAGACACGGCCCAGACUCCUACGGGAGGCAGCAGUGGGGAAUAUUGGACAAUGGGGGGAACCCUGAUCCAGCCAUGCCGCGUGUGUGAAGAAGGCCUUAUGGUUGUAAAGCACUUUAAGCGAGGAGGAGGCUACUAGUAUUAAUACUACUGGAUAGUGGACGUUACUCGCAGAAUAAGCACCGGCUAACUCUGUGCCAGCAGCCGCGGUAAUACAGAGGGUGCGAGCGUUAGUCGGAUUUACUGGGCGUAAAGCGUGCGUAGGCGGCCAUUUAAGUCAAAUGUGAAAUCCCCGAGCUUAACUUGGGAAUUGCAUUCGAUACUGGAUGGCUAGAGUAUGGGAGAGGAUGGUAGAAUUCCAGGUGUAGCGGUGAAAUGCGUAGAGAUCUGGAGGAAUACCGAUGGCGAAGGCAGCCAUCUGGCCUAAUACUGACGCUGAGGUACGAAAGCAUGGGGAGCAAACAGGAUUAGAUACCCUGGUA